GAAUUUUGAAUAUUGUCUCGAUGUUGACCUAGGUACAAUAUGUGGGCACUCCGUUCAGUAAUUACUUGCAGCCA
RNAcentral lists this transfer RNA (74 nucleotides) under Candidozyma auris. RNAcentral's name for it is "[Candida] auris tRNA-Asn". Lineage: Eukaryota; Fungi; Ascomycota; Pichiomycetes; Serinales; Metschnikowiaceae. The record is from RNAcentral.